Molecule: ribosomal RNA, 253 nt
Filed under: uncultured bacterium
Lineage: Bacteria
Description: partial 16S ribosomal RNA
Rfam family: Bacterial small subunit ribosomal RNA
Source: RNAcentral
UACGUAGGGGGCAAGCGUUGUCCGGAUUCAUUGGGCGUAAAGAGCGUGUAGGCGGCCAGGUAGGUCGGUUGUGAAAACUGGAGGCUCAACCUUCAGAGGUCGACCGAAACCAUCUGGCUAGAGUCCGGGAGAGGAGAGUGGAAUUCCUGGUGUAGCGGUGAAAUGCGCAGAUAUCAGGAAGAACACCCGUGGCGAAAGCGGCUCUCUGGAACGGUACUGACGCUGAUGUGCGAAAGCGUGGGGAGCAAACAGG